GACGAACCGGACAAACGUUAUUCGGAAUUACUGGGCUUAAAGAGUGCGUAGGCGGCUAGGAAGGUGAGGUGUGAAAUCCCACGGCUCAACCGUGGAAUUGCGCUUCAAACCACUUGGCUUGAGGGAGAUAGGGGUGAGCGGAACUGAUGGUGGAGCGGUGAAAUGCGUUGAUAUCAUCAGGAACACCGGUGGCGAAGGCGGCUCACUGGAUCUCUUCUGACGCUGAGGCACGAAAGCUAGGGUAGCGAACGGG
Molecule: ribosomal RNA, 253 nt
Filed under: uncultured bacterium
Lineage: Bacteria
Description: partial 16S ribosomal RNA
Rfam family: Bacterial small subunit ribosomal RNA
Source: RNAcentral